RNAcentral lists this long non-coding RNA (840 nucleotides) under Brassica napus (rape). RNAcentral's name for it is "long non-coding RNA (BNAP_LNC009093)". Lineage: Eukaryota; Viridiplantae; Streptophyta; Magnoliopsida; Brassicales; Brassicaceae. The record is from RNAcentral.
CAUUAUCUUGUCUUGCGGUUGUUACACCCACCCAUCUUACCAUUGAUCUGCAGUCCCAAUGACCAAGAGAUUCCAUCAAUAUAUAUACAAUUUAAAAAGCUACACAAACUCUGCAUCAAAUACUAAACUGUAGACGAUUACCAUUGGGGGGGUAACUGUAACAGCUUGCACAACGCACAAAGGCGUGUCCAACAAACACACAAAAGCAUGGUGCUCUUCUUCCACAUCCAUCAGCUCUCACUCUCAAGCUCCUCCUGACCAUCUCCAAUCUCGCCGGCAAACUCACAAGAUCCUUCCUCAUCACAUGAUUGCACGGAAACAAACAAAUAUGCACAUCAUCAUCACAUGAGAUUGCAAACAAGCAAAUUGAAAAAAAAAAAAAAAACAUUGAAAACAAGAGGGGAAAACUGUAUAUUUGCCAAGGAUUGAUAGGAAUAACAAAGCGAUCUCAUAAGUGUAAAAGUCAAAUGGAACCUAACCUCUCUAACGAUCAUUCAAAUAGACAGGAUGCUAGUUCCUAAUUGUUUCCACAUUAUGAAUAUACACAUAAGCUUCUUCCAUUUUCAAUCUAAGAAAUUAUAAAAUAUUGCCAAGAACUGAUAGGAAUAACAAAAUGAUCUCAUAAGUGUUAAGUCAAUUGGAACCUAACCUCUCUAACGAUCAAUUAAAUAACAGGACGCUAGUUUCUAAUUGUUUCCACAUUAUGAGUAUACCACAUAAGCUUCUUCCAUUUUCAAUCUAAGCAAAUAUAGAAUACUGCCAAGAACUGAUAGGAAUAACAAAAUGAUCUCAUAAGUGUUAAGUCAAAUGGAACAUAACCUCUCUAACGAUCAUUCAAAU